RNAcentral lists this long non-coding RNA (1029 nucleotides) under Sus scrofa (pig). RNAcentral describes it as "lncRNA (ENSSSCG00070028390.1)". Lineage: Eukaryota; Metazoa; Chordata; Mammalia; Artiodactyla; Suidae. The record is from RNAcentral.
AUGGGCAAGUCCUUGCCCCACUGGGGGUUCCAGUCCCCUCCCUCGUCGAAGGGAUUCCAAAGCAGUGAAUUCGCACGGACGAAAUGGAGCCCAGAGAGGGAAAGGGCCUUGCCCAAGGUCACACAGCGGGUCAGGUUCCGAGUGGGACCCCACCCCCACCCCCUGCAGGAGCCAUUCCCGGGCCUGGAUCUCGGCCCCCCUUCAUCCCCCUCCUGUCUUUCGCUGGGUCUCUGCCUCCGUCACCGUGUCCCCGUGUGCCCUGCUUGGACUCUCUGGGCUCCUCUCUACCCAUCUCAGGGUCUCCCCAGCCCUGCCCCCAGCUCUCUGUGUGUGCUUGUCUUUUAUCUCCUUUUCUGUGCUCUUCGCAUAACUUCGUUUCUGUAUCUCUCAUUGGCCCUCCUUUUCUUUUGUGUGUUUUUGUUUUUUGUCUUUUUUUUUUUUUUUUUUAAGGCCACACCUGCAGCAUAUGGAGGUUCCCAGGCCAGGGGUCGAAUCAGAGCUGCAGCUGCUGACCUGUGCCUCAGCGAGGCCAGGGAUCAAACCCACGUCCUCAUGGAUGUUAGUCGGUUUUGUAACCCACUGAACCACAACAGGAACCCCCUGUCCCUCCUUUUCUAUGUCUCUGUCUCUCUUGUCUCUUCAUCUCUGUCUCCCCGUGUCCUCCCCUGGUAUCUCUGUGUCUCUGUGUGUCUCUCUCUUUCCAUCUCGGUCCUGAACCCCCUGCCCCGUGUGUGUGUGUGUGUGUGUGUGUGUGUGUCUCGCUCCAUGACUCUCACUCUGCCUGGCUGCCCUGUCUCCCCCUGGCUCUCACCCCCCAAAAACAACCACUCUCUUUUCUCUCCCCCUCCCCCAGGACCUGCUGAAUCCGGACCCUGCCCCUUACUGCCAGCUGGUGCCAGCCCCCUGAAGGGGUCCCAGGCCAGACCAGUCAGGGCAGGGGGAAACCUCAGCCCUCCCCGGGGACCAUGCACCUGCAGAGAAGCCACACCAGAGACCCAGCAGGACCAGGCCGUCGGGGCUGUGGGCUGA